UCCUACGGGAGGAAGCAGUGAGGAAUAUUGGUCAAUGGUCGGGAGACUGAACCAGCCAAGCCGCGUGAGGGAUGAAGGUACAGAGUAUCGUAAACCUCUUUUGUCAGGGAACAAAGGCGGGGACGUGUCCCCGGAUGAGUGUACCUGAAGAAAAAGCAUCGGCUAACUCCGUGCCAGCAGCCGCGGUAAUACGGAGGAUGCGAGCGUUAUCCGGAUUUAUUGGGUUUAAAGGGUGCGCAGGCGGUCUGUUAAGUCAGCGGUCAAAGCCCGGGGCUCAACCCCGGCCCGCCGUUGAAACUGGCAGC
Molecule: ribosomal RNA, 305 nt
Filed under: uncultured bacterium
Lineage: Bacteria
Description: bacterial SSU rRNA
Rfam family: Bacterial small subunit ribosomal RNA
Source: RNAcentral